AAAAAUUUAGUUAAAAAAUAACAUUAGUUUGUCAAACUAAAAUUAUUAAUAAUAAUAAUUUUUU
This 64-nucleotide transfer RNA is filed under the name Timarcha goettingensis. Its description in RNAcentral is "tRNA-Asp". The record is from RNAcentral. Lineage: Eukaryota; Metazoa; Arthropoda; Insecta; Coleoptera; Chrysomelidae.